RNAcentral lists this ribosomal RNA (929 nucleotides) under Staphylococcus aureus. Its description in RNAcentral is "bacterial SSU rRNA". It matches the Rfam family "Bacterial small subunit ribosomal RNA", at positions 91 to 1006 of the family's 1533-position model. Lineage: Bacteria; Bacillati; Bacillota; Bacilli; Caryophanales; Staphylococcaceae. The record is from RNAcentral.
GUUAGCGGCGGACGGGUGAGUAACACGUGGAUAACCUACCUAUAAGACUGGGAUAACUUCGGGAAACCGGAGCUAAUACCGGAUAAUAUUUUGAACCGCAUGGUUCAAAAGUGAAAGACGGUCUUGCUGUCACUUAUAGAUGGAUCCGCGCUGCAUUAGCUAGUUGGUAAGGUAACGGCUUACCAAGGCAACGAUGCAUAGCCGACCUGAGAGGGUGAUCGGCCACACUGGAACUGAGACACGGUCCAGACUCCUACGGGAGGCAGCAGUAGGGAAUCUUCCGCAAUGGGCGAAAGCCUGACGGAGCAACGCCGCGUGAGUGAUGAAGGUCUUCGGAUCGUAAAACUCUGUUAUUAGGGAAGAACAUAUGUGUAAGUAACUGUGCACAUCUUGACGGUACCUAAUCAGAAAGCCACGGCUAACUACGUGCCAGCAGCCGCGGUAAUACGUAGGUGGCAAGCGUUAUCCGGAAUUAUUGGGCGUAAAGCGCGCGUAGGCGGUUUUUUAAGUCUGAUGUGAAAGCCCACGGCUCAACCGUGGAGGGUCAUUGGAAACUGGAAAACUUGAGUGCAGAAGAGGAAAGUGGAAUUCCAUGUGUAGCGGUGAAAUGCGCAGAGAUAUGGAGGAACACCAGUGGCGAAGGCGACUUUCUGGUCUGUAACUGACGCUGAUGUGCGAAAGCGUGGGGAUCAAACAGGAUUAGAUACCCUGGUAGUCCACGCCGUAAACGAUGAGUGCUAAGUGUUAGGGGGUUUCCGCCCCUUAGUGCUGCAGCUAACGCAUUAAGCACUCCGCCUGGGGAGUACGACCGCAAGGUUGAAACUCAAAGGAAUUGACGGGGACCCGCACAAGCGGUGGAGCAUGUGGUUUAAUUCGAAGCAACGCGAAGAACCUUACCAAAUCUUGACAUCCUUUGACAACUCUAGAGA